GAACCUCACUCUGUCACCCAGGCUGGAGUGCAGUGCCACGAUCUCGGCUCACUGCAACCUCCGCUUCCCGGGUUCACGCCAUUCUCCUGCCUCAGCCUCCUGAGUAGCUGGGACUACAGGUACCCGCCACCACACCUGGCUAAUUUUUUGUAUUUUUAAUAGAGAUGGGGUUUCACCGUGUUAGCCAGCAUGGUCUUGAUCUCCUGAUCUCAUGAUCCGCCAGCCUCGGCCUCAAAGUUCUGGGAUUACAGGCGUGAGCCAACGUGCCCAGCCGAGGCACCUUUCUUAAGGUCCCAGCCCAUAGGUGGUCCACAUCACUUCUGCCUACAUUCCAUGAUCAGGAGCUUAGUCACAUGAUCAGCCCUAACUGUAAGGUGGCUGGGAAAUAUAUAUAUAUGUAUGUGUCUACAUAUAUGUGUGUAUAUAUAUGUGUGUGUGUGUGUGUGUGUGUGUGUGUGUAUGCAGCCAUAGGCCGAGUAGUUCAAUUAUUGUAGAAGAAGGAAAGAAUAGGUUUUUGGAUAGUGUCAUUACAUCAACCUAGAUGUGACCCAGAUACCACCAAGUAGAGGCUCUUCAGUUAUUAUGAGCAAUUAGGUCAGAGUUUUUGUUAAAGUGGAAACAGGGAAAGUAUGAUCCAUAGAGGACAUAAGGACAUAGGAUCCCUUCGAGUAAUGGAACAUGUCCCAGGGGCUUGAAAAGAGACUGUUUUGUUUGUCCUUCCAGACAGGGGAGUUCAGGGGCAUUCAGCAGCAGACAAGGGUGAUGGAUACCCAGAACAUUGCUUAUGAAAUGAUUUAUAUUUUUAAUAAUACUUUAUAGUUUACAAGGAUCAUUUGUACAUAUUGUUUGAUUGGAUGUUGAAAACAUUCCUCAUUAGGGACAGCUAGACGUAGAGAGAUGAAAGGUCUUGCACAAAAUCACACAAUUCAUAAAUAGCAAAGGUGAGAUCUGAACCCAAGUCUUCCUAGUUUCAGUCCAGUGCUUUUUACCAAAUAAAAAUGCUACAUAUUGAUUUUUUUUUUUUAUCCUGGGAGGGUGACUAGUUGGACAUCUCAAAUGGAGUAAGGACUUUACUUUUUCACUGGACUUUACUUUUUCAGUUUCCAUGUAAUUUGGAUGUCAUUGUGAAGACGUCAAGAGUCAUGUCCACAAAGAUAAUACUGGUUAUUACUUGGUGACCACCUACUGUAAGCCAGGCCCUGAGCUGGACACUUUAUUUAUAUCUUAUUUAUUCCUCCUAAUGAUCCAGCAAGGUAGGCAUUAUUACACCUAUCUUGCAGAGGAGGAAGCUGAAGAGGUUAGGUAACUUUUCCCAAACAGAGAGCUAGUAAGUGGGUAAGCCAGGUCAUGAAUCCAAGUUAAUCUGCUAUCUUCCCUCUCAGUGCUGCCUUGAAGGACGAGGGGUAUCUGCUGCUCAGGCCUCAGGAAUGGACACAUAGGCUUCAGGCCCAUGAGGACCUCCUGGACUAAGAGCCAGUCUCACUGCCACCUGUCAGAGCCUUCUUCAAGGGAGUAAACAGAGGGGCAGGACUCACCUCACUUCGUGCUGCCAGGGCUAGAGCUAUCCUUUCUCCCCACUCCAUUCCCACCUUGCUGGGUGAGCCUGCAGUUUUUCCAAGGCAGGGCCAGCCUGUCCUGUGCUGCAAGAUGUAUUAAUCAAUUUGAUGGGGAUGUUAAAGCUUUCUCUUUGCAACUAAUUAUGGCCUGAUUUAUAGGCCUGGCCUUGGUUUGAUAGAGCUCUCCUCAUGACAGGGAUGAAUGUGGUACUGGCAUGGACCCCUUCAUCUCUUCCAUUUCUCUCUCUUCCUCCCUCCUCCCUCCCUCCCACGGCUCCUGCCUCCUGCCUCUGCUCUUGGUUCCCACAGGAACACCCUAAUGACAUGUUGACAAGCUAGUGAAGCAUGGCUCCCUCUCUGUUGCAUCUGCCUCUGGCACCACCAUUCCUCCUGUAUUCUCUGACAUGGGCAGAUGGGUGCUGUGCUGGAGGAAGCUCUGUACACCCUUUCCUUCUGGAAACAAGAAACAAUAAAAAUAUUUUGGGUUGAUGCAGCAUCUUCCUUCCCAAACAUUCCAAGAGCUUGUUGAAAUAAACUUUAUCCCUGAUGGAACUUCCAGGUAAGAUUUCAGGUAAGGUUUAUUCUGGUUAUUUUACAAAUGAGAGCACUGAGACAGAGAGAUGAACUUGUCUGUGAUUUUACACACAGUAGGACAAUGAAGAUGAGAAUAAAUUGGUGUCAUGGUGUCCAGCUCCAAGAUCCUCCCAUUGCUGGGGCCUUUGGGUCACCUUACUGUUGCUAGGAACCCUUUCCUCAUACCUGCGCAACUUGACAGAAGGAGAGCCCUCACAUAGGCACUGCUUUUUUGUUUUGUUUUGUUUUGUUUUGUUUUUUGGAGACAGGGUCACACUCGG
This 2410-nucleotide long non-coding RNA is filed under the name Homo sapiens (human). RNAcentral's name for it is "HSALNT0241914". Lineage: Eukaryota; Metazoa; Chordata; Mammalia; Primates; Hominidae. The record is from RNAcentral.